UACGGAGGGUGCGAGCGUUGUUCGGAAUUAUUGGGCGUAAAGCGCGCGCAGGUGGUUUCUUAAGUCUGAUGUGAAAGGCCCGGGCUCAACCUGGGAACGGCCUCUAAAACUGAUGAUCUUGAGUCCGGAAGAGGAUGGCGGAAUUCCCAGUGUAGAGGUGAUAUUCGUAGAUAUUGGGAAGAACACCGGUGGCGAAGGCGGCCAUCUGGUCCGGGACUGACGCUGAGGCGCGAAAGCGUGGGGAGCAAACAGG
RNAcentral lists this unclassified non-coding RNA (253 nucleotides) under uncultured Alphaproteobacteria bacterium. Its description in RNAcentral is "contains 16S-23S intergenic spacer region". It matches the Rfam family "Bacterial small subunit ribosomal RNA", at positions 524 to 776 of the family's 1533-position model. The record is from RNAcentral. Lineage: Bacteria; Pseudomonadati; Pseudomonadota; Alphaproteobacteria.